UGCGUAGGCGGCGCGGAAAGUUGGGUGUGAAAUCCCUUGGCUUAACCAAGGAAUGGCGCUCAAAACUACCGUGCUUGAGGAAGACAGAGGUGAGCGGAACUUAGGGUGGAGCGGUGAAAUGCGUUGAUAUCCUAAGGAACACCGGUGGCGAAAGCGGCUCACUGGGUCUUUUCUGACGCUGAGGCACGAAAGCCAGGGUAGCGAACGGGAUUAGAUACCCCGGUAGUCCUGGCCGUAAACUCUGAGCACUUGACGGGAGACUCCUCCAUAGGUUUCCGGUCGUAGCGAAAGUGUUAAGUGCUCCGCCUGGGGAGUAUGGCCGCAAGGCUGAA
RNAcentral lists this ribosomal RNA (332 nucleotides) under uncultured Planctomycetota bacterium. Its description in RNAcentral is "bacterial SSU rRNA". It matches the Rfam family "Bacterial small subunit ribosomal RNA", at positions 568 to 898 of the family's 1533-position model. The record is from RNAcentral. Lineage: Bacteria; Pseudomonadati; Planctomycetota.